Molecule: ribosomal RNA, 445 nt
Filed under: uncultured organism
Description: partial 16S ribosomal RNA
Rfam family: Bacterial small subunit ribosomal RNA
Source: RNAcentral
ACUCCUACGGGAGGCAGCAGUGGGGAAUAUUGGACAAUGGGCGCAAGCCUGAUCCAGCCAUGCCGCGUGAGUGAUGAAGGCCCUAGGGUUGUAAAGCUCUUUCACCGGAGAAGAUAAUGACGGUAUCCGGAGAAGAAGCCCCGGCUAACUUCGUGCCAGCAGCCGCGGUAAUACGAAGGGGGCUAGCGUUGUUCGGAAUUACUGGGCGUAAAGCGCACGUAGGCGGAUCGAUCAGUCAGGGGUGAAAUCCCAGGGCUCAACCCUGGAACUGCCUUUGAUACUGUCGAUCUGGAGUAUGGAAGAGGUGAGUGGAAUUCCGAGUGUAGAGGUGAAAUUCGUAGAUAUUCGGAGGAACACCAGUGGCGAAGGCGGCUCACUGGUCCAUUACUGACGCUGAGGUGCGAAAGCGUGGGGAGCAAACAGGAUUAGAAACCCUAGUAGUCCC